RNAcentral lists this long non-coding RNA (5032 nucleotides) under Jatropha curcas. RNAcentral's name for it is "long non-coding RNA (JCUR_LNC001239)". Lineage: Eukaryota; Viridiplantae; Streptophyta; Magnoliopsida; Malpighiales; Euphorbiaceae. The record is from RNAcentral.
AUUGAAUAUCUUCAUCCCAAAGCUCCUCAAAAGAUUUGUAUGGACCUUCAUCGGAAAUGAAUUCAAUACCAGGAAAUCCUUUACGUUGUGGAAGUGCAUCGAUCAUCUCUAAUUCUUCUUGGCUUAAUUGCCAGUCAAAAAUGUCAAGGUUUUCUUUCAUUCUCUCCUUGUUGAAGCUCUUCACUAAUACAACUACCCCUUGCUCAUAUGCCCAUCUUAGACACACCUUCAAAUUCAUAAAAAGUAGACAAAAACUUUGUUACAUUAUGUUUCUAAUUAGGGGUGUGAAAAUGGACGGUCUGAUUCAAAAUCGAAAUUAGUUUCUUUUUUGUUAAUCGAAUCGCAUCGAAAUAAGUUCGAAAAUCAAAUUGAACUUAUUGGUUGAAAUCAAUUUAGUCAUAUUGUUUGAUUUUACUCAAAAAUGACUGUUUUAUAAUAAUCGGUGUAAAGACCGAAUUUUUUGUAAUAUAACAAAUUAAAAAUUGAAAUCAAAAAACCAAAAAUAAUUCUGUUUUUUUUUUCCUCCAAAGUUUGCUCACCGAAUUUUCAAUUCUCUUGUUGUUUUUGCAUUUGUCAUUGUUGGCCUUUAUACAUUGAAUAUGGUCAAGUUGAAAGGACCUUAUUAUGCCAUAUAUUGCGUUUCAAGCCCAAGUUGAUCACUGAUCAGUGAUGAAGUUUACAAUUAUGAGCAUAAAAUUAACUGUAAAAUAUAACCCAUCCUUAAGUAUAUUCAAAUUAACACUUAAAUCUCUUUAUUUUUGAAAAAUAAUUAUAACAUUUCUAAUUUAUAUAUUCGUCUUAUAAUUGGGUCCUUCAAUCUAAAAAGUGAACUCUAUACAGUUAAUUAGACACACUUUUUAGUCGGAUUAUGGGUAGUCUUUACAUGGAAAUAGUUCACUUUUUGAAUGGAAGAAUCUGGCUAUGAGAUAAAUCAUAAAUCAAAAACAUCAUAAUUAUUUCUCAAAUAUAAAGGGACUUAAAUGUUAGUUUAAAUAUAAUUUAGAAACCUAAUUAUAUUUUAUCCCAAAAUUAAUAUACCUGGGCAAGAGUUUUUCCUUUUGCCUUCGCAAUCUCUUGUAGCAACUCACAGUCCAUGACUAAGUUUGUACCCCAUAAGGUUCCUUUGGCUCCCAAAGGAGAGUAUACGCUUACUGGUAUACCCUUUUUCUCGCAGAAAUCUCUGAGCUUCUUUUGCUGCCAAAGUGGAUUCAUCUCCACCUUCAUCAUCACCAAAAAACCCAUUUAGUAUCAUCAUUUUUAUUGUCAAAUAAAGAAUAAAAAUCUUUUUUUUUUCAACUACUGGUAUCCGAACUCUAUUAUUAGGGAUCGCCUAAUCUGGUUCGAGGUUUAGUUACAGUCAAGGCUUCUCGCCCCUCUCUGCAGGUGCAAUUAGUAGGAAUCGAACUUGAGAGCUCUUCCCACAUGUCCAGCCAACAGAACCACAAUCCGUAGGUAAAACACAAAUCAUUUUAGAUUGCCAAUAAACUUUAACUUAAUAGAUUGUAUCUUACGAUCUCUCCGUUCACAAAUAAGUGUCAUAUUUGCGAAAAUAUUGUGUCUACAAAUAAACAUCACAUCUGUGGAUUUAGAAAUACUAAAUUUUAUUCCGUGUUUAUCUUUUACAAAUUACGAAUAUUAAUUAUUAUAAUUUCCAAAAAUCUUUCUCUCUUUAUUGUAAAUAAGGGUAAUAUAACUUUUUUAUGAGAUGAGAAAAGUGGAAAUGUAACAGUUAUUUAUAAACGGAGGGAGUACAAGAUGACUUCCAGCAACAAAGAAGGAUUUAAGAUCAAAAUUUUAACAAAAACUGUAAAAAGAUUUAUAUUUUACAAUAAAGGCAUAAAACUCUCUCAUUAAACCAACAAAUUUUUGAUUAUCAAUUAAAAAAAUUAUCAAAGUAUUUUUUACAGCAUUUAUUGGGAAGAGAUGGAUGGACUUAUCCACUGUCUAAGUUUAUGUAAAAGGUGACACGGAUCUACCACAUGAGUUGUAAAUGAUCAUAUACACCCUAUUUUGUUACAUUAAUUGUAAAUGACUAUAUAUAUCCUACCUACAUUAUAAUUAUCAUUUUAUUAUUAUACUCACUAAGUCCUACAAAUAUAAAAUCCCAAUUUUUUUCACACACUUUAAAAAUCAUUACUUAAAUUACUUUAAUUAAUUAUAAUUUCAGAAUUAAUUCUUUUAAUUAUAUUAUUAUACACACGGACUAUUAUAUAAGAGUAUUUCGAAAAUAUAAAAGUGACUAUUAUUUUGAAAUAUCCAUAAAAGAAUAGUAAAUAUAACUUGAGACGGAUGAAGUAAUUAUUUUAUUUAUUGAUAUAGCUAAUUAUUACUAUUGGGUAGUCCAUAUCAGGUGAUGAACUAAAUUACUUUCAAAGAGUUGAGAAAGUCAAGUGACUCUUUACUUAUGUUAGAAUGUAACCGUAAAUUUUAAAUAUUAGAAUGAUGUCCGAAAACUCUCGCAAAUUAAGUUGAAAAAAAAAUAAUAAAAUUAGCUAAUUGACGAACUCACCUGAUUAACAGCAGGAGGAAUCUUUGCUGUGCCCAACAGAAUCUCAAGUUUCUUGCAAGAAAAAUUGCUUACUCCAAUGGAUUUUGCCAAGCCAAGCUUUUGACACUCUUCCAUAGCUUCCCAUACAGACUUAAAAUCCAUUGGAAGAAGAUCCUUUUUCUUCACUGGUAGCUCAUAUUCACCUGGCUUCAAGCUCACUGGCCAGUGUAUCAAGUACAAAUCAAUGUACUCCAAUUUAAGGUUCCUGCAUAAGUUUAAUAAAUAUUAAAUACUACUUAUCGGAUUUCAAAUUUACAAGGUAUAAUAAUAUAUUAAUGACCAAAAAAGAAUUAAAAUUUAUAUUAUGUAGUAUUUACCUGAGAGUAUUUUGUAGAGCAGGCAGAACACGAUUAUAAUGAGCAUCACAGCACCAAAGCUUAGAAGUGAGUAUUUUCUAGAGCAGGAAGGACACGAUGAUAAUGAGCAUCACUGCACCAAAGCUUGGAAGUGAUAAAGAAUUCGUCUCGGGAUUUUACAAUUCCAAGCUGUAGAGAUUCUGAUAUUGCUUCACCUAAAGGUUGUUCAGAUCGGUAAAGAGAAGCAGAAUCAAAGUGUCUAUAACCUAAUUUUAUUGCAUGGAGAAUCGAGUCUUUCAUGGUUUCAAUGGAAGCAGAGAAAGGAUAUUCAGCUGUUCCUAAACCUACAAGAGGGAUUGGAUAAUUACUUGAUAAUGUUUUCUCUGGAAUUUUAAUACUCUCCAUUUUUUCUUUAGUUUAGCAUCAUCUCCAAGUGUUCCUACAUAUAACAACUCAAUAAUAUCUUCCAAGGGAAGGACUUACGUCAACAAUAGAUAUGCCCACGACAUGUCAUGGAGAGCCAUACUUUUGCUGAGCGUUACUCAAAUGAAAGCCCAUACAAGUUCCCUCUUUGAGCUCCGGGAUGGAGAAUUUUAAUACUGAUGAUUUUAGAACAAUAAAAUAAUUUGAAGCGUAAAAUUCAUUUAUAAACGAUGUGGUCUUCCUCGCUUCUGCGGAUAUUUUUAUAUUUUUAUUUGAGUUGUAAUAUAUAUAUAUAUAUAUAUAUAUAAAGAGAAAGAGAAUGAGGAGAAAAAAGAAAGAGAAAAAUAAAAGAGUUUCAUGCAUCUCAUCUUUAAAUCAUGUGAAAUUUAUUUUAUUUGUUGCAAAUAAACAUUUAAUAAAAUUGAUUUACAAAUGAAUUUGUAUAUUUAGUAUCCUAAAUAUUAAACUUAAACUUAUUUAAGAAGUUAAUUAAUUUACAGUUGUAUCAAAUUUGUAUUCUUACUAAUUUAAAAUUCAUUUAUAAAUUAUUCAAAUUUCAUAUAAAUAUAAUUAACCUAUCAUAAAUAAUGAGAAAAUUUGAAAUAAAAUUUCAUUCAUGACUUCCAAACAUAUUCAGUAAAAUAAAAUGAAAUUCAUUCAUACAUAACCCUCAACAGUAAUAAAUAUUAAAACAUAAACAGGAGAUAUAAAUAAAUUUAAGAAAAUUGAAUAUCUUCAUCCCAAAGCUCCUCAAAAGAUUUGUAUGGACCUUCAUCGGAAAUGAAUUCAAUACCAGGAAAUCCUUUACGUUGUGGAAGUGCAUCGAUCAUCUCUAAUUCUUCUUGGCUUAAUUGCCAGUCAAAAAUGUCAAGGUUUUCUUUCAUUCUCUCCUUGUUGAAGCUCUUCACUAAUACAACUACCCCUUGCUCAUAUGCCCAUCUUAGACACACCUUCAAAUUCAUAAAAAGUAGACAAAAACUUUGUUACAUUAUGUUUCUAAUUAGGGGUGUGAAAAUGGACGGUCUGAUUCAAAAUCGAAAUUAGUUUCUUUUUUGUUAAUCGAAUCGCAUCGAAAUAAGUUCGAAAAUCAAAUUGAACUUAUUGGUUGAAAUCAAUUUAGUCAUAUUGUUUGAUUUUACUCAAAAAUGACUGUUUUAUAAUAAUCGGUGUAAAGACCGAAUUUUUUGUAAUAUAACAAAUUAAAAAUUGAAAUCAAAAAACCAAAAAUAAUUCUGUUUUUUUUUUCCUCCAAAGUUUGCUCACCGAAUUUUCAAUUCUCUUGUUGUUUUUGCAUUUGUCAUUGUUGGCCUUUAUACAUUGAAUAUGGUCAAGUUGAAAGGACCUUAUUAUGCCAUAUAUUGCGUUUCAAGCCCAAGUUGAUCACUGAUCAGUGAUGAAGUUUACAAUUAUGAGCAUAAAAUUAACUGUAAAAUAUAACCCAUCCUUAAGUAUAUUCAAAUUAACACUUAAAUCUCUUUAUUUUUGAAAAAUAAUUAUAACAUUUCUAAUUUAUAUAUUCGUCUUAUAAUUGGGUCCUUCAAUCUAAAAAGUGAACUCUAUACAGUUAAUUAGACACACUUUUUAGUCGGAUUAUGGGUAGUCUUUACAUGGAAAUAGUUCACUUUUUGAAUGGAAGAAUCUGGCUAUGAGAUAAAUCAUAAAUCAAAAACAUCAUAAUUAUUUCUCAAAUAUAAAGGGACUUAAAUGUUAGUUUAAAUAUAAUUUAGAAACCUAAUUAUAUUUUAUCCCAAAAUUAAUAUACCUG